Molecule: ribosomal RNA, 463 nt
Filed under: uncultured bacterium
Lineage: Bacteria
Description: partial 16S ribosomal RNA
Rfam family: Bacterial small subunit ribosomal RNA
Source: RNAcentral
CUACGGCGCUCCAGUGAGGAAUUUUGCGCAAUGGGGGAAACCCUGACGCAGCAACGCCGCGUGAGUGAUGAAGGCUUUCGAGUCGUAAAGCUCUGUCAAGUGGGAAGAACCUACUAAGUGCCAAUACCACUUAGUACUGACGGUACCACUGAAGGAAGCACCGGCUAACUCCGUGCCAGCAGCCGCGGUAAUACGGGGGGUGCAAGCGUUACUCGGAAUUAUUGGGCGUAAAGGGCGCGCAGGCGGCCAGGUAAGUCAGAUGUGAAAGCCCGGGGCUCAACCCCGGAAGUGCAUUUGAAACUACUUGGCUUGAGUAUGGGAGAGGGAAGUGGAAUUCCUGGUGUAGAGGUGAAAUUCGUAGAUAUCAGGAGGAACACCGGUGGCGAAGGCGACUUCCUGGACCAAUACUGACGCUGAGGCGCGAAGGCGUGGGUAGCAAACAGGAUUAGAUACCCCUGUAGUC